GUGAACGCUGGCGGUAGGCCUAACACAUGCAAGUCGAACGGCAGCACCGUAAGAGCUUGCUCUUACGGGUGGCGAGUGGCGGACGGGUGAGGAAUACAUCGGAAUCUACUUUUUCGUGGGGGAUAACGUAGGGAAACUUACGCUAAUACCGCAUUCGACCUACGGGUGAAAGCAGGGGAUCUUCGGACCUUGCGCGAUUGAAUGAGCCGAUGUCGGAUUAGCUAGUUGGCGGGGUAAAGGCCCACCAAGGCGACGAUCCGUAGCUGGUCUGAGAGGAUGAUCAGCCACACUGGAACUGAGACACGGUCCAGACUCCUACGGGAGGCAGCAGUGGGGAAUAUUGGACAAUGGGCGCAAGCCUGAUCCAGCCAUACCGCGUGGGUGAAGAAGGCCUUCGGGUUGUAAAGCCCUUUUGUUGGGAAAGAAAAGCAGCAGGUUAAUACCCCGCUGUUCUGACGGUACCCAAAGAAUAAGCACCGGCUAACUUCGUG
This 491-nucleotide ribosomal RNA is filed under the name uncultured bacterium. RNAcentral describes it as "partial 16S ribosomal RNA". It matches the Rfam family "Bacterial small subunit ribosomal RNA", at positions 29 to 507 of the family's 1533-position model. The record is from RNAcentral.